AGUGAACGCUGGCGGUAGGCCUAACACAUGCAAGUCGAACGGCAGCACAGUAAGAGCUUGCUCUUACGGGUGGCGAGUGGCGGACGGGUGAGGAAUACAUCGGAAUCUACUUUUUCGUGGGGGAUAACGUAGGGAAACUUACGCUAAUACCGCAUACGACCUACGGGUUAAAGCAGGGGAUCUUCGGACCUUGCGCGAUUGAAUGAGCCGAUGUCGGAUUAGCUAGUUGGCGGGGUAAAGGCCCACCAAGGCGACGAUCCGUAGCUGGUCUGAGAGGAUGAUCAGCCAAACUGGAAAUGAGACACGGUCCAGACUCCUACGGGAGGCAGCAGUGGGGAAUAUUGGACAAUGGGCGCAAGCCUGAUCCAGCCAUACCGCGUGGGUGAAGAAGGCCUUCGGGUUGUAAAGCCCUUUUGUUGGGAAAGAAAAGCAGCAGGUUAAUACCCCGCUGUUCUGACGGUACCCAAAGAAUAAGCACCGGCUAACUUCGUG
Molecule: ribosomal RNA, 492 nt
Filed under: uncultured bacterium
Lineage: Bacteria
Description: partial 16S ribosomal RNA
Rfam family: Bacterial small subunit ribosomal RNA
Source: RNAcentral